GAGAAAGUUACUAAGAGCGCAUGGGGGAUGCCCUGGCUCUCAGAGGCGAAGAAGGACGUGAUAAGCUGCGAUAAGCUCCGGGGAGGUGCAAAUAACCUUUGAUCCGGGGAUUUCCGAAUGGGACAACCCGACACGAGCGAUCGUGUCACCCUCUUACGAGGGGGCGAACGCGGGGAACUGAAACAUCUAAGUACCCGCAGGAAGAGAAAAUAACAAUGAUUCCGCAAGUAGUGGCGAGCGAACGCGGAAGAGCCCAAACCGGUAAUGUUACGGCAUGACCGGGGUUGUAGGACCUCGACAUCGUGGAAACCUGUGAACCGGAACGGUCUGGGAAGGCCGUCCGCAGAGGGUGAAAGGCCCGUACGGGCAAGCAGGUGGCACGUAGAGGUAUCCUGAGUAGGGCGGGACCGGAGGAAUCCUGUCUGAAGCAGGCGGCACCAUCCGCCAAGGCUAAAUACUCCUGAGAGACCGAUAGCGAACAAGUACUGUGAAGGAAAGGUGAAAAGAACCCCGAACAGGGGAGUGAAAGAGAACCUGAAACCGUGCGCUUACAAGCGGUCGGAGCCACUACGUGUGGUGACGGCGUGCCUUUUGCAUAAUGAGCCUACGAGUUGCCGUGCAUGGCAAGGUUAAGCGUUUGAGACGCGGAACCGAAGCGAAAGCGAGUCUGAAGAGGGCGUUGAGUCAUGUAAGGCAGACGCGAAACUUAGUGAUCUACAUGCGUCCAGGCUGAAGUUGCGCUAAACCGCAAUGGAGGGCCGAACCAGUAAACGUUGAAAAGUUUUUGGAUGAGGUGCGUGUAGGAGUGAAAGGCCAAUCAAACUGAGAGAUAGCUCGUACUCUCCGAAAUGCCUUUAGGGGCAGCCUCAUGUUAGAUAUGCCAGAGGUAAAGCUACUGAUUGGAUGCGGGGGUUUCACCGCCUACCAAAUCCUGACAAACUCUGAAUGCUGGCAUAUUCAUUCAUGGGAGUGAGGCUUCGGGUGCUAACGUCCGGGGCCGAGAGGGGAACAACCCAGACCAUCGGUUAAGGUCCCAGAAUCCGCGUUAAGUUGAGAAAAACGGCGUCCCGUUGCACAGACAGCUAGGAUGUUGGCUUGGAAGCAGCCAUUCAUUCAAAGAGUGCGUAACAGCUCACUAGUAGAGUGACGGGGCAUGGAUAAUAAUCGGGCAUGAAACGCGGUACCGAAACUGUGGGAUAGCGAUAUCGGUAGGAGAGCAUUCCAAGCGGCGGCGAAGGUGAACCGUGAGGUUUGCUGGAGCGCUUGGAAGAGCAAAUGUAGGCAUAAGUAACGACAAGGCGGGCGAGAAACCCGCCCACCGAAAGAUCAAGGUUUCCCGGCCAACGUUAAUCGGACCGGGGUAAGUCGGGGCCUAACGGGGAGCCAGGCGAACUGGCGCACCGGAAUGGACACGCGGUUAAUAUUCCGCGACCGGCUGCAGGAACGAAGUGGAGACGCAGAAGUGACAGGCGCGCGGGCUGACGGAAUAGCCCGUUGAAGGGUGUAGGUCUAUCCAGGGAGGCAAAUCCCCCUGGUUGCCGAACCUGAUAGUACCGCAAGGCUUCGGCUGCGCGGAUAGCCGCCGUAACCAGGCUGCCGAGAAAACCCGCUAAGUACAUGCUGCAGCUGCCCGUACUGUAAACCGACACAGGUGAUCGAGAAGAGAAUUCUAAGGUGCUCGAGUGAUUCAUGGCUAAGGAACUAGGCAAAAUUGCCCUGUAACUUCGGGAGAAAGGGCCCCGCGCGAGCGGGCGCAGAGAAUCGGCCCAGGCGACUGUUUACCAAAAACACAUGGCUUUGCGAAAUGGAUAACAUGAAGUAUAAGGCCUGACACCUGCCCAGUGCCGGAAGGUUAAGAGGAGAUGUCAUCGCAAGAGAAGCAUUGAAUUGAAGCCCCGGUAAACGGCGGCCGUAACUAUAACGGUCCUAAGGUAGCGAAAUUCCUUGUCGGGUAAGUUCCGACCUGCACGAAUGGUGUAACGAUCUGGGCACUGUCUCAGCCAUGAGCUCGGUGAAAUUGUAGUGCCGGUGAAGAUGCCGGCAACCCGCACCUGGACGGAAAGACCCCAUGAACCUUCACUGUAUUUUGACAUUGGUUUUAGGGCUGGCAUGUGUAGGAUAGGUGGGAGGCUAUGAGCCGGCGACGCCAGUCGUCGGGGAGCCGCCGUUGAAAUACCACCCUUGCCCGUUUUGAGAUCUAACCUCGUCCCGUCAUCCGGGACAGGGACCGUGUCUGAUGGUCAGUUUGACUGGGGCGGUCGCCUCCCAAAAGGUAACGGAGGCAUCCAAAGGUUCCCUCAGCGCGGUCGGAAAUCGCGCGCAGAGCACAAAGGCAUAAGGGAGCUUGACUGCGAGACGGACACGUCGAGCAGGUACGAAAGUAGGGCUUAGUGAUCCCGCGGUACAGCGUGGAAAGGCCGUUGCUCAAUGGAUAAAAGGUACUCUGGGGAUAACAGGCUGAUCUCCCCCAAGCGUUCAUAGCGACGGGGAGGUUUGGCACCUCGAUGUCGGCUCGUCGCAUCCUGGGGCUGGAGAAGGUCCCAAGGGUUUGGCUGUUCGCCAAUUAAAGCGGCACGCGAGCUGGGUUCAAAACGUCGUGAGACAGUUUGGUCCCUAUCCGGUGUGGGCGUGGAAGCUUGAGAGGACCUGACUCUAGUACGAGAGGACCGAGUUGGACGAACCUCCGGUGAACGGGUUGUGGCGCCAGCCGCACUGCCCGGUAGCUGCGUUCGGAUGAGAUAAGCGCUGAAAGCAUCUAAGUGCGAAACUCACCUCAAGAUGAGGCUUCAUUCAAGGGCCGUCAUAGACGAUGACGUUGAUAGGCCGCAGGUGUAAAGUCGGCAACGGCAAAGCCGAGCGGUACUAAUAACCCGAAACUUUCCGGA
Molecule: ribosomal RNA, 2885 nt
Filed under: Haemonchus placei
Lineage: Eukaryota; Metazoa; Nematoda; Chromadorea; Rhabditida; Trichostrongylidae
Description: Bacterial large subunit ribosomal RNA
Rfam family: Bacterial large subunit ribosomal RNA
Source: Rfam by way of RNAcentral